This 253-nucleotide ribosomal RNA is filed under the name uncultured bacterium. Its description in RNAcentral is "partial 16S ribosomal RNA". It matches the Rfam family "Bacterial small subunit ribosomal RNA", at positions 524 to 776 of the family's 1533-position model. The record is from RNAcentral.
GACGUAGGGCGCGAGCGUUGUCCGGAUUUAUUGGGCGUAAAGAGCUCGUAGGCGGCUUGUUGCGUCGUCCGUGAAAACCUGUGGCUCAACCACAGGCUUGCGGUCGAUACGGGCGGGCUGGAGUUCGGUAGGGGAGACUGGAAUUCCUGGUGUAGCGGUGAAAUGCGUAGAUAUCAGGAGGAACACCGGUGGUGUAGACGGCUCACUGGACCGUAACUGACGCUGAGACGCGAAAGCGUGGGUAGCAAACAGG